GCCCACACUAUAUUUAAUAUAAUUAAUGAAGAUUACAAUUAUUGCUUUAAAGCAUAAAAUUAUUAUUGUUUUUAAGCGAAAAAUUAAGAGGGCUUCUCGUUAAAAAAAAAAAAAGAUAGUAGUUUACCUCUUCACUGAAAAGAGAGUGUACAGAGGUAGAGUGAAGGGUCAAUUUGGAAUAAGUUUUACCUUGUUUACUAAUUAAGAAACCUGUCUUGGGCUGAGUUUAUGGUAUUCAGUUCAUAUCUGCCCAAAGCUCUUUUUCUCAAAGGUGUUACUCCAUUAUUUUUAGUUAUUUUUAAGAGUCACACUUUGGAAUUUUAAUUUGAGUAAAAU
Molecule: long non-coding RNA, 336 nt
Filed under: Bos taurus (domestic cattle)
Lineage: Eukaryota; Metazoa; Chordata; Mammalia; Artiodactyla; Bovidae
Description: long non-coding RNA NONBTAT018791
Source: RNAcentral